This is a non-coding RNA of Lupinus albus (white lupine), 319 nucleotides long. Lineage: Eukaryota; Viridiplantae; Streptophyta; Magnoliopsida; Fabales; Fabaceae. The record is from the annotation of a GenBank genome assembly.
AAGGCUUCGAAUUUGAGGAGAUUUUGCUUGCACUUUUAUCACUGUGUUCAGUAACGUUUUAUUGAAGCCAAUAAAUGUGUUCCCCUCGCUAUCCAAUGCUGCAAUUUGUGUAGCAUUAGGACGUCGGGGAACAAAAUUUCCCACUUUAGUGUGGUGCUAAAUUGUUAUGAUGCGACAUUUCACGGAUCUUCAUUGAUUUGUUUAUGAUCCCAUUCUUUUUAAAUCAUAUCAGAUGAUGAAAUUGGAAAUAUCUUAGGACAACUUCCUACUCAGUAAUUAUUGCUGUGGAUGAGAAUAAAUUUUCCAUGCUGAUGAUGUG